This 939-nucleotide ribosomal RNA is filed under the name uncultured bacterium. Its description in RNAcentral is "bacterial SSU rRNA". It matches the Rfam family "Bacterial small subunit ribosomal RNA", at positions 28 to 1014 of the family's 1533-position model. The record is from RNAcentral.
AACGUACGCUGGCGGCACGCCUAACACAUGCAAGUCGAGCGAGGUAGCAAUACCUAGCGGCAGACGGGUGCGUAACAUGUGGGAAUCUGCCUUUUGGUUCGGAACAACACGGGGAAACCUGUGCUAAUACCGGAUAAGUCCUUACGGAGAAAGUUUUAAUGCCAAAAGAUGAGCCCGCAUUUGAUUAGCUAGUUGGUGAGGUAAAAGCUCACCAAGGCGAUAAUCAAUAGCUGAUUUGAGAGGAUGAUCAGCCACACUGGGACUGAGAUACGGCCCAGACUCCUACGGGAGGCGGCAGUGGGGAAUCUUGCACAAUGGGCGAAAGCCUGAUGCAGCGAUGCCGCGUGAGUGAAGAAGGCCUUUGGGUUGUAAAGCUCUUUUGUCGGGAAAGAUAAUGACUGUACCCGAAGAAUAAGGUCCGGCUAACUUCGUGCCAGCAGCCGCGGUAAUACGAAGGGACCUAGCGUAGUUCGGAAUUACUGGGCGUAAAGAGUAUGUAGGCGGCUAGAUAAGUUAAUUGUGAAAGCCCAAAGCUUAACUUUGGAAUUGCAAUUAAAACUAUUUAGCUGGAGUAUGAUAGAGGAAAGCGGAAUACAUAGUGUAGAGGUGAAAUUCGUAGAUAUUAUGUAGAACACCAGUUGCGAAGGCGGCUUUCUGGAUCAUUACUGACGCUGAGAUACGAAAGUAUGGGUAGCGAAGAGGAUUAGAUACCCUCGUAGUCCAUACCAUAAACGAUGAUUAUUAGAUGUGGGGAAUUAUUUCUCUGUAUCAUAGCUAACGCGUUAAAUAAUCCGCCUGGGGAGUACGACCGCAAGGUUAAAACUCAAAUGAAUUGACGGGGACCCGCACAAGCGGUGGAGCAUGUGGUUUAAUUCGAAGCAACGCGCAGAACCUUACCAACCCUUGACAUGUUCGUCGCGAGACUAAGAAAUUGUCUCU